RNAcentral lists this ribosomal RNA (450 nucleotides) under uncultured bacterium. RNAcentral's name for it is "bacterial SSU rRNA". It matches the Rfam family "Bacterial small subunit ribosomal RNA", at positions 29 to 479 of the family's 1533-position model. The record is from RNAcentral.
AAUAAACGUUGGCGGUGUGCUUAACACAUGCAAGUCGAGCGCGAAAGCUCCUUCGGGAGUGAGUAGAGCGGCGGACGGGUGCGUAACACGUAAGAAUCUACCCUUUAGUGAAGAAUACCUCCGAGAAAUCGGGGUUAAUGCUGCAUAAAGUCCCUCCGGGGAGAAAGAUGGCCUCUUUGCUGUCGCUGAAGGAUGAGCUUGCGGACUAUUAGUUUGUUGGUGGGGUAAAGCCUACCAAGACGAUGAUGGUUAGCCGGCCUGAGAGGGUGUACGGCCACAUUGGGACUGAGACACGGCCCAGACUCCUACGGGAGGCAGCAGUGAGGAAUAUUGCGCAAUGGGCAAAGCCUGACGCAGCGACACCGCGUGGAGAUGAAGGUUUUCGGAUCGUAAACUCCUGUUAAGUGGAAGAAAUCUCUAGCUCUAACAUAGCUAGAGGAUGACGGUACC